GACAUGGCGCCGAGCCCGGCCCGCCCGCCUCAGCAUGGGCGGGGCCGGGGCGGGGCGGCCCCUAUAAAAUGCCUCGCGCGGGGCGAGCCGCCCUCUUGUUCCGGCGUGGCUGAGGGUGCUGGGCCGAUGGGACGCCUGAUGUGGUGGGGUCGGGUGUGCAAUGCGGGCAGUUGCCUGGUUUGCUCUACCAUGCUGGAGCCCUGGCAGAUCGGAAUGGGUGCUGCAAAGGCAGUGGGGGUGCUGAGCCUCUGGGAGACCUGAUGUGAUGGCUGUAGCUGGCAGUGACCAAUUGUGUGAUAACAGCAGUUGCCUGGUUUCCUCUGCUAUAUGUGCUGGUGUGGCAGGGGAGAAUGGUUGAGACUUGUCAGAAGUUGUCCUGGGACCUGCUGUGAUUUCAGUGUACUAGCAGAAAGCUGUCUUGUGCUAAUGAUGUCCCUCUCCAUGCUGCUGCCCGUGAUCCCUUCUCCAAGCUACAGCCUUCACAUCACCUUGCAACGGCUCUGGUCUUUUCUCAGAGCUAGGAGGAGUGAUAAAUUGGUGUCCUGCCACCUUACAGAUGGUGUUAUUUUUCUUUCCCUUGGUAUGAGGAGUUUAACUGUAAUGGAUUCUGGAACUUGCUGCAUGUUUAAUGUAAUUGGAUACGUUUGUCUGCAAGGGCUGCAUUCACCACCUGACAGGUCAUGUUAUCUUAAUACAUAAAAGUAAGGAAGCUUCUCCUUAGAGCAAUUGGCAAGUAUGGGAAGAUGGCUUUCUGUGUAAGGAGGGGGGGAUUCAAGUCUUGGCUCUUCCCUGUCACCCAGAAAGCUUUAGUAAUAUAUGAUUGGCAACCUGUAAAGUGGUUAAGGGGCAUCUUGUAUGCUGCAGUGCAGUCUGUGUUUCUGUACUGUUUAGAGCUAUCUUUAAUAAAAUCUGAGUACUGGGUG
Molecule: long non-coding RNA, 923 nt
Organism: Grus americana (Whooping crane)
Lineage: Eukaryota; Metazoa; Chordata; Aves; Gruiformes; Gruidae
Exons: 4
Source: RefSeq, a predicted model, not a curated record